UCUGAGGGGCAAGGGAGGAUGGAUUCUGAGCUCACCUUCUGAAAUUCAAAGAAUACCCCAGCUUCUUCAAUCAGGAACAAAAGUGGGCAAGUUCAAAAUGACUUUUGUAACAUCAGAAGGUCUGUGAAUUGCACAUUAGUAAAAGUUGAGCAUCCCUUAUGCAGAAUUCCGGCAUCCUAACCCAAAUCCAAAAUUAUCCACAUGGGUGGGCUGAGAUAUCCUUGCUGACAUCCUUGCUUUCUGAUGAGCCAAAGUAUACAGAUUAAGUUUCAUACACAAAAAUUGUUAAAAUUCAGGGUAUAAACUGACCUACGGGCCAUGUGUAUAAGGCAGGUAUGUGCAAACUAAGGUCCGGGGGACGGAUGCAACCUUCUGAACCUUCUGGGUGUUUACCUCAGGCCGUCCUUAUUUUCCUUGUCCUCUUGGCAUAAGGACAUGGUUGCCCACCACAUCUUUAUCCCAAAAAGAUGAGGGAGGGAGGCAUGCAGCAGUUGAGAGCCCUUCAAAGCACUCUCAGCCACCACAUGUCUCGCUGUCUUCCUGGCAUAAGGACAGUACGAGCAGCCCUAUCCUUAUGCAAAGAGGACAGCUCAAAAAAGCAUGCAGUGGCUGAGAGCCCUCCAGAGCACUCUCAGCCACCAUCUGUCUUGCUGUUCUCCUGGCAUAAUGCCAAGAGGACAGCCCAAGGAUCAGGGGAGGUGGAUCAGGGCAGUUACCGCAUGUCUUGCCAUUCUCCCAGCAUAAGGAUGGGGUGAGCAGCCCCGUCCUUAUGCCAGGACAACAAUCUGAGUAUGACCACUGCCCUGCCCUUUCCUGGUCCUCCCCACCCAGCGUGUGUCUGGCCCCUUCCUUCCAGGCCCAGCCCUCCUGGUCGGGCCCACAAUGCGCCUCCAAGGCAAAAAUGUUUGCCCAUGCCGGGUAUAAGGUAUCUAUGGAAUACAAAUUAAUGUCAUGUUUAGAACUGGGUAUCCUCUCCAAGAUAUUGCAUUAUGUACAUUUAUGUUUUUCAUCAUGUCAGAAGUGACUUGAGAAAAUACUGUAAGUCUCUUCUGGUGUGAGAAAAUUGGCCGUCUACAGAGACGUUGCCCAGGGGAUGCCCAGAUAUGUUGCCAUCCUGCUGGGAGGCUUCUCUCAUGUCCACGCAAGCUAGAGCUGACAGACAGGAGCUCAUCCUAUUUUGCGGACUCGAACCGGCAAUCUCUAGGUCAGCAACCCAACCUUCAGGUCAGCAGUUCAGCCAUUUAUAAAACAUAGGCAUUCCAAAAUCCAAUAAUAAUAAUAAUAAUAACAAUAACAACAACAACAACAACAAUAAUAAUAAUUCCAAAACUCCUCUGGUCCCAAGCAAUUUGAAUAAGAAAUAGUCAAUCUGUACAGAUAUACCUCCAUUAAUGAAAUAGAUGUUUUCUUCUUUAAGAAUUACUUCUUUGACAGAAAAUAUAAUGUUGGAGGGGAAAAGAACAUGGAGUGAAUCGGGUUAAGUUCCUACACUAAAGCAGUUCAACUUGCUUCAGCAAACUUUUUAUUGAAAACUAGCCAUAUGAACAUAUGGAAUGAAACAAGUAAAUCUGUAGCAGCUCAUCAAAAUACAACUGAUGAAGUAUCCUUAAGUCUAACAAAGCUUAUGCUACAACUUCUUUAUCUCAGUCCCAAAGAUGCUACAAGAUUCCUUUACAUAAUAAUCCAAACCAACAAGGCUGUGUCCUUGAAUUCUACAAGUGAGUCAGGUAAGUCGUGCUGAAGUUGACAAACAUUUUGAAACUUCUAGAGACUAUUUGAAAGCUCCUUUCUAACUACAUUCAGAUAUGGGUUCUUGCUUUCACCAGCUUCCACUGCUUGUCUAGUUGAGUUAGUGGAGAUGAAAUGAGCUGCAGAAGCAAACUGCUAUCAAUGCCAGUCCAUACUCUAUUUGGACCAUAUGGCAUCUUUGAUGGACACAUCGUCAUGUGGUCCAUGUCAUUUUUGCAGGGGAUCAUUCAGACUGAUCCUAUUUGCAUACUACUCUGCCCUUUUAAAAAUAUCUGCACACAUAAUCAUAUUUAAAUUGCCAUUUUAUAAUAUUAUCUCCCCCUGGAAACAUGAAUUUCUAAAUGUAUUCCUCUCAUCUAUCCAUGAGGAUGUGUUUGUGCAGGCAUCUAUUUGAUGGGCUGUAAUACUCAUUCAAUUUUACAUCCUUUUUAGUUAACAACGAUCAUCUGCUCUCAUUAGAUUUGCAGAUGGGGACCUCUAUUGGUCUAAAGGAAAUGACUCAAUUUUUUAAAAAUGCAGUAAAACAUUUGGAAGGAUAUUUUAGUUUAAAAAGAAAACAUUGUAUUCAGUGAUAUAAAAAUAUAAAUGAUGCAGACAAAGGUAAAGAUAUUUCAGGCCCCCUAUAUCCCAGGAUCUGAUCCCAGAUUAUCUGUUUUAAAGUGGAUUAUAUGAGUCUCCACUGCCAUAUAAUCUGAGAUAAACAUAUAAUCUGGGAUGAGAUCCUGAGAUAUAGUGGCAGUGUGAUGACAGAUGAACCAAUGAAGUGUAGUAGUAGUUUGAGCAUUGUGUUAUGACUUUGGAGACGUUGAGUUCAAUUCACUGCUCUGUCUCUGCUUAUAUGGUAGCCCUUAGGCUACACAUAGAAAACAGAAUUUUUAAUGGUUUGCAAAGGCACUAUGAUGUGUAUGUUAACUGGAAAAUGAAGUGCAUGAAGCCGAUUGGUUGAGUCUUCAAGGCCCUGUGGAUUGAUUUGAUACUGUUCCUGUUCUGCUGCUGCAGAACCAGUUUGGACAAGUUUUUCAGUACUGUCCGAGUACUGCUGGGGAGAGAGAAGUCUGUACUCAAAAGAGGGCUUGCUUUUUUUGAGGCCUAUCUGCUGCUGAGGAAAGAGGGAGAAGAACCAGGACUGUAUUCUUCUCUGAAGCAGAUUUAUGGACCAAGAAAGGACUAUUUAUGACUGUGGACUUCUGUAAGUGAUCAGAGGGACCAUUGCAAAUACUACUGUUUUUGAUCUCUUGGAAUCAGUAAAGUUCCUGUAUUUUUGUUCUGCAAACCUGAGUUCUGUGGGUGACUCUGGGUCACGGACACACAUAAGAGCUUCUAUUUAUCAUCAUCAAUCUGUAACAGAAUUGUGGUAUAAGACUGGGCUUCUAGGAUAUCUUCCUAUAAUGCAAAAUUGCACCACAGAAUUACUUGCCAUGAGGUUGGCCACUAGUGUAGAUGACAAUCAGUUCAUAAAGCGUUAGCUAUUAUUAGCCAAGGCUGGCUAAUAUCAUUCAGCAGAAUGAGGUAGUUGUCUCAGGGAGAAGAUGUUGUCUUGGGACAACAGCAGAAGGAGGAAGCAAUGGCUGCCACGUAGUUGCUCUUCUUGGCAGAGAAUAAAGAACGGUGUGCUCCAGACAACCUUGUCCUCCUGCCUUCAAGUGGACUUCACAAUGAUGUCCUAUCAGCAUUGCUAAAGUUGGUUUGUUGAGUUGGAAUGAAGAAAGAAGGUGUCUUUUUUUUUCUCAGGCAGAACAAUACCUUACAUUUGCUCUGAUGUUAGCCAUGAUAGUUAGACAGAGCCCUUGUGUUCCAGAACAGUAUGUUCUUGUGUAACCAGAGGCUGGAAGCAACAAAAUAAAUAGUACAGAGAUGGUGAUAUAAUUACUUGCUUUGGAACUUUAUUAAAGUCCACCAUCCAAUGGAAAGGAAUGGACUGCUGAACCUUCUCAGCACUUAGUCCAAUCCAGCCAACUGCUUUUUACAUGCUACACCCAGAUUCAUUGACCCAACUUCCACAAUCUCUAGUUACUGAGGAUGAUGACAAUUGAACCUCCAAAGCAUUGUAAACCCGAAAUCUCCUAAUUUGGCUCAAGUUCUAAUUUUGUAUUUAGGCUUUGAAAUUAAGAAUGGCAUUGCCUAGAGCAGGGGUCCCCAAACUAAGGCCCGGGGGCCGGAUGCGGCCCUCUAAGGUCAUUUACCUGGCCCCGCCCUCAGUUUUAUAAUAUAAUCUUUUAAUAUCAUUUUUAAUAAUAUAAUAUAUUGUAUUUACAUAUAAUACUGAUAAUAAUAUUAUAAUGUUAUACAAUAUAAUACAAAUAAUAAUACCAUAUAAUAAUAUUAAUUAUAUGUUAU
This 4086-nucleotide long non-coding RNA is filed under the name Anolis carolinensis (green anole). RNAcentral describes it as "lncRNA (ENSACAG00000045561.1)". Lineage: Eukaryota; Metazoa; Chordata; Lepidosauria; Squamata; Anolidae. The record is from RNAcentral.